RNAcentral lists this ribosomal RNA (253 nucleotides) under uncultured bacterium. Its description in RNAcentral is "partial 16S ribosomal RNA". It matches the Rfam family "Bacterial small subunit ribosomal RNA", at positions 524 to 776 of the family's 1533-position model. The record is from RNAcentral.
AACGUAGGAGACAAGCGUUAUCCGGAUUUACUGGGCGUAAAGCGCGUGUAGGUGGCUAGGUAAGUCGGGCAUGAAAUCUCUUGGCUCAACUAAGAGAGGCUGUCCGAUACUAUUUGGCUUGAGGGCAGUAGAGGGUGGUGGAAUUCCCUGUGUAGUGGUGAAAUGCGUAGAGAUAGGGAGGAACACCAGUGGCGAAGGCGACCACCUGGACUGCUACUGACACUCAGACGCGAAAGCUAGGGUAGCGAACGGG